RNAcentral lists this ribosomal RNA (503 nucleotides) under uncultured bacterium. Its description in RNAcentral is "bacterial SSU rRNA". It matches the Rfam family "Bacterial small subunit ribosomal RNA", at positions 28 to 526 of the family's 1533-position model. The record is from RNAcentral.
GAUGAACGCUAGCGGCAGGCCUAAUACAUGCAAGUCGAGGGGUAUAAGAGAGCUUGCUUUCUUAGAGACCGGCGAAUGGGUGCGUAACGCGUGAGCAACCUACCCUUGUCUGGGGGAUAGCCCGGAGAAAUCCGGAUUAAUACCGCAUAACGUCGGAGAGCGGCAUUGCUUUCCGACCAAACAUUUAUGGGACAUGGAUGGGCUCGCGUGACAUUAGUUAGUUGGUAAGGUAACGGCUUACCAAGACCGCGAUGUCUAGGGGAUCUGAGAGGAUGACCCCCCACACUGGUACUGAGACACGGACCAGACUCCUACGGGAGGCAGCAGUAAGGAAUAUUGGUCAAUGAGCGGAAGCUUGAACCAGCCAUGCCGCGUGCAGGAAGACUGCCCUAUGGGUUGUAAACUGCUUUUAUACGGGAAUAAACCCGGUUACGUGUAACCGGCUGAAUGUACUGUAAGAAUAAGGAUCGGCUAACUCCGUGCCAGCAGCCGCGGUAAAAGUC